CAGUCGCCGCGGUAAUACGGAGGGAGCUAGCGUUGUUCGGAAUUACUGGGCGUAAAGCGCACGUAGGCGGCUAUUCAAGUCAGGGGUGAAAGCCCGGGGCUCAACCCCGGAACUGCCUUUGAAACUAGAUAGCUUGAAUCUUGGAGAGGCGAGUGGAAUUCCGAGUGUAGAGGUGAAAUUCGUAGAUAUUCGGAAGAACACCAGUGGCGAAGGCGACUCGCUGGACAAGUAUUGACGCUGAGGUGCGAAAGCGUGGGGAGCAAACAGGAUUAGAGACCCGUGUAGUCCCUGUCUCUUAUAA
RNAcentral lists this ribosomal RNA (301 nucleotides) under uncultured bacterium. RNAcentral's name for it is "partial 16S ribosomal RNA". It matches the Rfam family "Bacterial small subunit ribosomal RNA", at positions 509 to 809 of the family's 1533-position model. The record is from RNAcentral.